UGUCCCAUGGCUUAGUUGGUUACGGCGUCCGACUGUUACAUACUGAAUCCAAAGGCGAUGAAGUUAUCGGAAGAUAGAGAGUUCGAGUCUCUCUGGGACAG
Non-coding RNA from Gymnopilus junonius, 101 nucleotides. The record is from the annotation of a GenBank genome assembly. Lineage: Eukaryota; Fungi; Basidiomycota; Agaricomycetes; Agaricales; Galerinaceae.